RNAcentral lists this ribosomal RNA (729 nucleotides) under uncultured organism. Its description in RNAcentral is "bacterial SSU rRNA". It matches the Rfam family "Bacterial small subunit ribosomal RNA", at positions 697 to 1437 of the family's 1533-position model. The record is from RNAcentral.
UCGGGAGGAACACCAUUGGCGAAGNCGGCCUCCUGGGAUGCUCCUGACACUGAAGGCGAAAGCUAGGGGAGCACACGGGAUUAGAAACCCCGGUAGUCCUAGCCGUAAACGAUGGAUGCUAGGAAUGGGGGAUGUAGAUUCCCUCCGUGCCACAGUAAACGCGUUAAGCAUCCCGCCUGGGGAGUACGACCGCAAGGCUAAAACUCAAACGAAUUGAAGGGGGCCCGCACAAGCAGCGGAGCGUGUGGAUUUAAUUCGACUGCUACACGAAGAACCUAACCUGGGCUUGACAUACAGGUAGUAGUGAAGUGUAAGCGGAUCGACCCUUCGGGGAGCCUGUACAGGUGCUGCAUGGCUGUCGUCAGAUCGUGCCGUGAGUUGUCGGGUUAAGUCCAGUAACGAGCGCAACCAUUGCUCUUAGUUAUACGUGUCUAAGAGGACUGCCGGCGGUAAGCCGGAGGAAGGUGGGGAUGACGUCAAGUCAGCAUGGCCUUUAUGUCCAGGGCUACACACACGCUACAAUGGCCGGUACAAUGGGUAGCUAAACCGCGAGGUGGAGCCAAUCCUGUAAAGCCGGUCUCAAUUCGAAUUGCGGGCCGCAAAUCGCAAGCAAGAAGUCGGAGAUGCUAGUAAUCGCAGGUCAGCAAUCUCGCGCUGAUACGUUCCCGGGCAUUGUACACACCGCCCGUCACGUCAUGGAAGCUGGCAACACCUGAAGCCGGUGAGCCA